Molecule: long non-coding RNA, 1267 nt
Organism: Bactrocera neohumeralis
Lineage: Eukaryota; Metazoa; Arthropoda; Insecta; Diptera; Tephritidae
Exons: 3
Source: RefSeq, a predicted model, not a curated record
UAACGUUGCCAAUUUUAUUAUACUACUAUAAUACAUAUAUAGAAAAAACUUAAAAUUUAUAAUCUUAAUUUUUUCAUUUUUCCAUAAUAAAGUUUGGCAGUUUGCAUUUUCAGGAUUCUUACAAGGAAGUGAGAUCUUGAGCAAUAGCAGCGAUUAUUAUCAAAAAUACUUUGCUCUUUACGCUUGGACUUGGUCUACAAUAUUCAAGUUUCAUGCUUCUUCUUGUGUGAUCUCAAUCGCAUGCAGCAUGGCAUAUAAACACCGAAAACUAUUCGUAUCGAAAGCACACGUUCUGUUAUUAUUACCACCUGAUUACGAUGUGUCUACGAAUGCAUAACGAACUACAUAAAUACACACACACAAAGUGUACGACUUCGUAAGUACUAUAUGUACUGACCCAGUGAGGAAUAUAACAGGUGACCCUUUGGUGCCCUUUUUGAUGACAUACAUAACCAACUGGUGAUUUGGUCUGGACCAGAACUCAAAUUAAGGCGCUAUAAACACGAUCUUAUACAAUUUUUUGGAUUUUUGUCGUACUUAUUCUUCGUGCUAUGCCGAAAGUGGAUGGAUCUGCAGCAUUAAGUCUCAUUAAAUCGGCUAAUAGAUUUUAGAUCAGCAAAGCCAUCUGAAGUUUAUCUUUACCUGCCGAAGCACAUAUACAUAAAUAUGUACAUAUGUACAUUUGGUCAUAACUUUAGAUUCUUACCUUGUCAGGGCUUUAGCCCACGUUCCACUGAGUGCUAAGCACACACUAGGCCUACGAACAGUAAUCACAAGUACUCUUUAGUGGCGAAUUUGGUAUUUCUAGACUAAUUCUAAAUAAUUUACUCGCAAACAAUUCUAUCACCCAAAAAUUUCCUACAAGGUAAUCAUAGGUUCGAGCUGAACGAACGCACAUUGCGCAAACAAAUUACAACUGCUACGUAUGCGUGCGUUUGUAUAAAUGAAUGUGGGUACGUAAGUGUGUCCAAUUGAAUGCCGAUUCGUAUAGUUAAGAAUUUCGAAACGACCUAUGACAAUAUUUAGUUGCCUAAUCACAAAAUAGAGUUACUGUGCUCCUCCUCUUUGAUUUGAAAUAUGCGAAACGGACGAAUUUGCAGCGAUUUGAAAGUGGAAGUUGUUCUUAUUCAAAGAUGUAUAAACGUUUUAAUUAAUUCUAGGUUCUUAUAUACGAAUAUAUUGAAAAACAAGAAUAGUAUAUUAUAUGUGUAGUUUUAAAAAAAUAAUAAUGUUAUAAAUCCAUGUGAGGUUUAAUUCAAAAAUUUCA